RNAcentral lists this long non-coding RNA (880 nucleotides) under Marmota monax (woodchuck). Lineage: Eukaryota; Metazoa; Chordata; Mammalia; Rodentia; Sciuridae. The record is from RNAcentral.
GGAAGGAGGAAGAAGGGAGGGGAGUACAGCAGGAGGAGCCUUUUUCUUUUUUCCCUUCUGCUGUGCUGUCCUAAGUUAUUUUCAACUUAAAGGAAAAUCAAAACUCUACUACUGCUUUGGUGAACAAGGACAAACUCCAAAGAUUUGGAAACAUCUACUUUGAAGAUCAUCUCUAGCUUCCCACCCCCAUAAGGAAAAAUUUUUUUUCUCAUCUUUGUUGUUUUAAGGAAGAACAAUUUAAUGAAUUUUCUCAAGUCAUCCCUUUGAAAUAGAGUCCCUUUUCUUUUUCUCUCUUUUUGGCAAAAUACGUACUGGAUUUUUAUUUCCUGCUUUUGGUUUUUUUCCCCACAUGUGUCAGCCGUUAUGCUCAGACAGUUUAUUCUCAAUUUUUCUACUGGACUUAUGCCCCAUGAUGGAAAGGGUGUGUGCUUCUCUUUCAAUCAAGACCUGCAUGAUUGGGAUCUUGAGGCAUUUGUUGCUUAUAUCAUGAACUAUAAAUUGAUCGUCUCAGAGCUCUGAGUUUGCCAGAAAGUUCUUACUCAUUUCAAAGAAUUGGAUUCUGCUUGGCUUUUUUUUUUUUUUUUAAUCCAUUUUGACCCUUUGAGGAUAUUCUAUAUAGAGUUGAAAUCUCCUAUCCACCUUAAGAAAUUUGGAGCUUUGGACUUGUGUGAGCAUACGGGUCCCCCAGUUAACGGUGGAUAUACUUUCCUGCUUUCCUGUAUUUUGCUCUUCUGCAUCUGAGUAAAAAUGUAUGAGCGGCACAAGAGGCGUUACAGCCUGUGUGACAUCUCCAAAGUGGACAGGACUGUAGAUGUGGUGUUGCUGAAGGUAAGAGGGGGCAAUACCUCAUGCAUUAUGAAACUUUCCAUGCUAUUUUCUC